This 497-nucleotide ribosomal RNA is filed under the name uncultured bacterium. RNAcentral's name for it is "partial 16S ribosomal RNA". It matches the Rfam family "Bacterial small subunit ribosomal RNA", at positions 28 to 507 of the family's 1533-position model. The record is from RNAcentral.
GAUGAACGCUGGCGGCGUGCCUAAUACAUGCAAGUCGAGCGAACGGACGGGAAGCUUGCUUUUCUGAUGUUAGCGGCGGACGGGUGAGUAAAACGUGGAUAACCUACCUAUAAGACUGGGAUAACUUCGGGAAACCGGAGCUAAUACCGGAUAAUAUUUUGAACCGCAUGGUUCAAAAGUGAAAGACGGUCUUGCUGUCACUUAUAGAUGGAUCCGCGCUGCAUUAGCUAGUUGGUAAGGUAACGGCUUACCAAGGCAACGAUGCAUAGCCGACCUGAGAGGGUGAUCGGCCACACUGGAACUGAGACACGGUCCAGACUCCUACGGGAGGCAGCAGUAGGGAAUCUUCCGCAAAGGGCGAAAGCCUGACGGAGCAACGCCGCGUGAGUGAUGAAGGUCUUCGGAUCGUAAAACUCUGUUAUUAGGGAAGAACAUAUGUGUAAGUAACUGUGCACAUCUUGACGGUACCUAAUCAGAAAGCCACGGCUAACUACGUG